RNAcentral lists this ribosomal RNA (517 nucleotides) under uncultured Staphylococcus sp. Its description in RNAcentral is "bacterial SSU rRNA". It matches the Rfam family "Bacterial small subunit ribosomal RNA", at positions 8 to 507 of the family's 1533-position model. Lineage: Bacteria; Bacillati; Bacillota; Bacilli; Caryophanales; Staphylococcaceae. The record is from RNAcentral.
AGAGUUUGAUCCUGGCUCAGGAUGAACGCUGGCGGCGUGCCUAAUACAUGCAAGUCGAGCGAACAGAUAAGGAGCUUGCUCCUUUGAAGUUAGCGGCGGACGGGUGAGUAACACGUGGGUAACCUACCUAUAAGACUGGGAUAACUUCGGGAAACCGGAGCUAAUACCGGAUAACAUUUAGAACCGCAUGGUUCUAAAGUGAAAGAUGGUUUUGCUAUCACUUAUAGAUGGACCCGCGCCGUAUUAGCUAGUUGGUAAGGUAACGGCUUACCAAGGCGACGAUACGUAGCCGACCUGAGAGGGUGAUCGGCCACACUGGAACUGAGACACGGUCCAGACUCCUACGGGAGGCAGCAGUAGGGAAUCUUCCGCAAUGGGCGAAAGCCUGACGGAGCAACGCCGCGUGAGUGAUGAAGGGUUUCGGCUCGUAAAACUCUGUUAUUAGGGAAGAACAAGUGUGUAAGUAACUGUGCACAUCUUGACGGUACCUAAUCAGAAAGCCACGGCUAACUACGUG